AAAGAGAGCUUGCUCUCUGGAAUCAGCGGCGGACGGGUGAGUAACACGUGGGCAACCUGCCUGUAAGACUGGGAUAACUCCGGGAAACCGGGGCUAAUACCGGAUAACUUCUUUUCCCGCAUGGGGAGAGGUUGAAAGACGGUUAUGCUGUCACUUACAGAUGGGCCCGCGGCGCAUUAGCUAGUUGGUGGGGUAACGGCCUACCAAGGCGACGAUGCGUAGCCGACCUGAGAGGGUGAUCGGCCACACUGGGACUGAGACACGGCCCAGACUCCUACGGGAGGCAGCAGUAGGGAAUCUUCCGCAAUGGACGAAAGUCUGACGGAGCAACGCCGCGUGAGUGACGAAGGCCUUCGGGUCGUAAAACUCUGUUAUCAGGGAAGAACAAGCAUCGUUUAACUGACGGUGCCAUGACGGUACCUGACCAGAAAGCCACGGCUAACUACGUGCCAGCAGCCGCGGUAAUACGUAGGUGGCAAGCGUUGUCCGGAAUUAUUGGGCGUAAAGCGCGCGCAGGCGGCUUCUUAAGUCUGAUGUGAAAGCCCACGGCUCAACCGUGGAGGGUCAUUGGAAACUGGGAGGCUUGAGUGCAGAAGAGGAGAGCGGAAUUCCACGUGUAGCGGUGAAAUGCGUAGAGAUGUGGAGGAACACCAGUGGCGAAGGCGGCUCUCUGGUCUGUAACUGACGCUGAGGCGCGAAAGCGUGGGUAGCGAACAGGAUUAGAUACCCUGGUAGUCCACGCCGUAAACGAUGAGUGCUAAGUGUUAGGGGGUUUCCGCCCCUUAGUGCUGCAGCAAACGCAUUAAGCACUCCGCCUGGGGAGUACGGCCGCAAGGCUGAAACUCAAAGGAAUUGACGGGGGCCCGCACAAGCGGUGGAGCAUGUGGUUUAAUUCGAAGCAACGCGAAGAACCUUACCAGGUCUUGACAUCCCGCUGGCCGGUCUGGAGACAGAUCUUUCCCUUCGGGGACAGCGGUGACAGGUGGUGCAUGGUUGUCGUCAGC
This 1004-nucleotide ribosomal RNA is filed under the name Siminovitchia fordii. RNAcentral describes it as "bacterial SSU rRNA". It matches the Rfam family "Bacterial small subunit ribosomal RNA", at positions 71 to 1059 of the family's 1533-position model. The record is from RNAcentral. Lineage: Bacteria; Bacillati; Bacillota; Bacilli; Caryophanales; Bacillaceae.